This 253-nucleotide ribosomal RNA is filed under the name uncultured bacterium. Its description in RNAcentral is "partial 16S ribosomal RNA". It matches the Rfam family "Bacterial small subunit ribosomal RNA", at positions 524 to 776 of the family's 1533-position model. The record is from RNAcentral.
UACAGAGGGUGCGAGCGUUGUUCGGAAUCAUUGGGCGUAAAGCGCUUGUAGGCGGCCUGUCAAGUCGCGUGUGAAAUCCCUUGGCUUAACCAAGGAAGUGCGCGCGAAACUGGCGGGCUUGAGUGCCGGAGAGGGUCGCGGAAUUCCCGGUGUAGAGGUGAAAUUCGUAGAUAUCGGGAGGAACACCAGUGGCGAAGGCGGCGAUCUGGGAAGAUACUGACGCUGAGGUGCGAAAGCGUGGGGAGCAAACAGG